GAGGGUAUAGUUCAAGUGUUAGAGCACAUGCUUAGCAUGUGUGAGGUCCUGGGUUCAAUCCCCAGUACCUCCU
This 73-nucleotide transfer RNA is filed under the name Camelus bactrianus (Bactrian camel). It matches the Rfam family "tRNA". From Rfam's summary of the family: Transfer RNA (tRNA) molecules are approximately 80 nucleotides in length. Their secondary structure includes four short double-helical elements and three loops (D, anti-codon, and T loops). The record is from Rfam by way of RNAcentral. RNAcentral also lists the same sequence under 2 other names. Lineage: Eukaryota; Metazoa; Chordata; Mammalia; Artiodactyla; Camelidae.